CACGUAGGGGGCAAGCGUUGUCCGGAUUUAUUGGGCGUAAAGAGCGUGUAGGCGGUUAGGUAGGUCCGUUGUGAAAACUCGAGGCUCAACCUCGAGACGCCGAUGGAAACCAUCUGACUAGAGUCCGGAAGAGGAGAGUGGAAUUCCUGGUGUAGCGGUGAAAUGCGCAGAUAUCAGGAAGAACACCCGUGGCUAAGGCGGCUCUCUAGUACGGUACUGACGCUGAGACGCGAAAGCGUGGGGAGCGAACAGG
This 253-nucleotide ribosomal RNA is filed under the name uncultured bacterium. Its description in RNAcentral is "partial 16S ribosomal RNA". It matches the Rfam family "Bacterial small subunit ribosomal RNA", at positions 524 to 776 of the family's 1533-position model. The record is from RNAcentral.